RNAcentral lists this ribosomal RNA (421 nucleotides) under uncultured bacterium. Its description in RNAcentral is "partial 16S ribosomal RNA". It matches the Rfam family "Bacterial small subunit ribosomal RNA", at positions 360 to 773 of the family's 1533-position model. The record is from RNAcentral.
AAUAUUGGACAAUGGGGGCAACACUGAGCCAGCCAUGCCGCGUGUGUGAAGAGGGUCCUCGGAUUGUAAAGCACUUUAUGGUGGGAGGAAGGGCUCUAGGUUAAUACCCUGAAGUAUUGACGUUACCACCAGAAUAAGCACCGCCUAACUCUGUGCCAGCAGCCGCGGUAAUACAGAGGGUGCAAGCGUUAAUCGGAAUUACUGGGCGUAAAGCGCGCGUAGGUGGUUCAGUAAGAUGGAUGUGAAAUCCCCGGGCUUAACCUGGGAACUGCUUUCAUAACUGCUGAGCUAGAGUACGGUAGAGGGUAGUGGAAUUUCCUGUGUAGCGGUGAAAUGCGUAGAUAUAGGAAGGAACACCAGUGGCGAAGGCGACUACCUGGACUGAUACUGACACUGAGGUGCGAAAGCGUGGGGAGCAAAC